Molecule: ribosomal RNA, 569 nt
Filed under: uncultured bacterium
Lineage: Bacteria
Description: bacterial SSU rRNA
Rfam family: Bacterial small subunit ribosomal RNA
Source: RNAcentral
CCUACGGGAGGCAGCAGUGGGGAAUAUUGCACAAUGGGCGGAAGCCUGAUGCAGCGACGCCGCGUGAGGGAUGACGGCCUUCGGGUUGUAAACCUCUUUCAGUAGGGAAGAAGCGAAAGUGACGGUACCUGCAGAAGAAGCGCCGGCUAACUACGUGCCAGCAGCCGCGGUAAUACGUAGGGCGCAAGCGUUAUCCGGAAUUAUUGGGCGUAAAGAGCUCGUAGGCGGUUUGUCGCGUCUGCCGUGAAAGUCCGGGGCUCAACUCCGGAUCUGCGGUGGGUACGGGCAGACUAGAGUGAUGUAGGGGAGACUGGAAUUCCUGGUGUAGCGGUGAAAUGCGCAGAUAUCAGGAGGAACACCGAUGGCGAAGGCAGGUCUCUGGGCAUUAACUGACGCUGAGGAGCGAAAGCAUGGGGAGCGAACAGGAUUAGAUACCCUGGUAGUCCAUGCCGUAAACGUUGGGCACUAGGUGUGGGGGACAUUCCACGUUUUCCGCGCCGUAGCUAACGCAUUAAGUGCCCCGCCUGGGGAGUACGGCCGCAAGGCUAAAACUCAAAAUGAAUUGACGG